RNAcentral lists this ribosomal RNA (253 nucleotides) under uncultured bacterium. Its description in RNAcentral is "partial 16S ribosomal RNA". It matches the Rfam family "Bacterial small subunit ribosomal RNA", at positions 524 to 776 of the family's 1533-position model. The record is from RNAcentral.
UACGUAGGUGGCGAGCGUUGUCCGGAUUUACUGGGCGUAAAGAGCGCGCAGGCGGUCGUACAGGUCGCGUGUGAAAGCCCCCGGCUCAACUGGGGAGGGUCACGCGAUACUGUUCGACUCGAAGGCAGGAGAGGGAAGCGGAAUUCCCGGUGUAGUGGUGAAAUGCGUAGAUAUCGGGAGGAACACCAGUGGCGAAGGCGGCUUCCUGGCCUGUUCUUGACGCUGAGGCGCGAAAGCUAGGGUAGCAAACGGG